CAAGUAGCUGGGACUACAGACAUGUGCCACCAUGUCCAGUGCAAGGAUUACAGGUAUGAGCCACCAUGCCUGGCCCCUACCCUGCCUACUGAGAACCAAAGGAAGGAUCCAAAUUCUCCUUAGCUCAACUCGAGCCAUUUCCUGAUUGCUUCAUCAGCGAGGAGCUGGUUAUUGGGCUGUCCAGGCCUCCCAAGCAGCACAGAAAUGAGAAACAGGACCUUGCCCUGUCACUCAGGAUGGAGUUCAGUG
This 249-nucleotide long non-coding RNA is filed under the name Homo sapiens (human). RNAcentral's name for it is "HSALNT0331538". The record is from RNAcentral. Lineage: Eukaryota; Metazoa; Chordata; Mammalia; Primates; Hominidae.